CUAGAGAAAAGGUCGUAUCUC
This 21-nucleotide small nuclear RNA is filed under the name Arabidopsis thaliana (thale cress). Its description in RNAcentral is "snRNA_06732". Lineage: Eukaryota; Viridiplantae; Streptophyta; Magnoliopsida; Brassicales; Brassicaceae. The record is from RNAcentral.